Molecule: non-coding RNA, 1580 nt
Organism: Ceratotherium simum simum (southern white rhinoceros)
Lineage: Eukaryota; Metazoa; Chordata; Mammalia; Perissodactyla; Rhinocerotidae
Source: RefSeq, a predicted model, not a curated record
UUCCAAUGAAAGGUCUGACUCAUUGUUACGCACAAUCAUCUGUUUUAUUUUAAAACAUGUCUACACUGCAUUGAGCCCCCAACACAGAUGUGACCAAGAAACCCACAGUCCUGUCCCAGCAGGGGAUGGGUCCAGUGUAUGACUUGGGGUCGAAUGUUACUUUUCACAGUGAGAAAAAAAAGCAAGGAUAGGAAAGACGAAAUUGACACUAUUCCCAACUCCUGUCCAGGAAUUUGAGUGAUGAAACAGAAGGAUAUUUAAGCUCAUAAAGCUUUUCUAAAGCCGCUUCUCUUAAUCAGUUGAUGUUCAAUAUGGACCCGGGGCUAGUGGACCAGCUGGAUUUGGGCAACAGAAGGGCACACUGUUUAAAACAACAUCCACAUAUUACUGCAAAAAUUGGGAGGAAUGGGCUGUGUUUUCUGACCGAUCGUUUACUUUUUCCUGUUUUAUGGACUCUUACAUGUUUAGAGCAUGUCAGAAUUGCACAACCACAAUCAUGAUAGAGCAUCUGCCCACUAUAAACAUUUUUUGUUUAGGAAAAAGAACUCAAUUGGCCUAUGGGAAGAACUGAGUUGAAUGGUGCCAAUUCAGAAUGGCAGCUUGGGCCGGCCCCUGGGCUCCUUCAUUUUGAGCUUUUCAAUUAUGACCCCACAGAAAUAUGUGGUGUCAUGAAGACUGGGAACAUCUUUCAUUUUUAAAUCAAGUCUUUAAAUCCAGCUGCUUUUGAGAACUCGAUAUUUUACAAGAUUAUUUUUGCUUCCCAUGUCUUUCCUCUGAGGCAGAAAAUAAAGGUUAGAAAAUGGUAGGUUCUAUUUCCCAUGCCAGAGGCACACACAGGGUUUCUUUCUGUUUGAGGACCACCAUGGUUCUUGGUUUCUGGAACACUUGAGCCUCUGGCACCACUGGGCCCCCAGGAGCCCCCUCAGCAUCCAGAGCUGAGAUCUCCAUAUUCCAGAACAAAGCAGCCAAUCGGAAGACUUUCGUCAUAGGAAAGAGAAAAGGCGGCCCCCUUAGCUCUGGCUCCCCAGCAUCUGAGGGACGCAGAGGGGGCAGGUAGGAGCAAACCUUUGAGUCGUCAAGUCAUCGCUGGAGAAGGUGGUAAAGCAAGAUUAGAAGCUGCCCAGUGGCCUUGUUGUGAGAAACAAAAUACCUUCUCCAAAGUAUAGAUUCCUGUUUAUGAUCUAAAAUGGAUGCCUUUGAAAUGAUUUAUCUGGACCAAUGAAAGGCAGUUGCUCAUUACAUAUUAUCCAAAUUUAGAUUUUCUACUUGGUUAUUCACAUCAAAUCAGGCUUUCGAAAUAGACCCAACUAGAUUGCAAGGUGUACAUUUUAACAGAAAUUGCAAAAUGCUUAUGCCAUUUACUGACAUAGCACUAGACCCAAGGACUCCACUGGUAUAAAUAUUUUCAGAUUCCUUUGCAUUUUAACAAUAAUAGAGAAUGGUCAGAACAAAGACAUGGUUACAGUUGCUAACAUUGAUUGAAUUAUAUUGUCCAUCUUAAUUACAAAUCAGUUUACAUAAUUUUGCUCCAUUUUCUAUGCAUUUUGUCUUUUAAAUCACCUUUUACAAAAUUUAUAUUU